RNAcentral lists this ribosomal RNA (467 nucleotides) under uncultured bacterium. RNAcentral describes it as "partial 16S ribosomal RNA". It matches the Rfam family "Bacterial small subunit ribosomal RNA", at positions 28 to 506 of the family's 1533-position model. The record is from RNAcentral.
GACGAACGCUGGCGGCGUGCUUAACACAUGCAAGUCGAACGGAAAGGCCCUGCUUUUGUGGGGUGCUCGAGUGGCGAACGGGUGAGUAACACGUGAGUAACCUGCCCUUGACUUUGGGAUAACUUAAGGAAACUGGGGCUAAUACCGGAUAGGAGCUCCUGCUGCAUGGUGGGGGUUGGAAAGUUUCGGCGGUUGGGGAUGGACUCGCGGCUUAUCAGCUUGUUGGUGGGGUAGUGGCUUACCAAGGCUUUGACGGGUAGCCGGCCUGAGAGGGUGACCGGCCACAUUGGGACUGAGAUGCGGCCCAGACUCCUACGGGAGGCAGGAGUGGGGAAUAUUGCACAAUGGGCGGAAGCCUGAUGCAGCAACGCCGCGUGCGGGAUGACGGCCUUCGGGUUGUAAACCGCUUUCGCCUGUGACGAAGCGUGGGUGACGGUAAUGGGUAAAGAAGCACCGGCUAACUACGU